RNAcentral lists this non-coding RNA (122 nucleotides) under Bacteroidota bacterium. RNAcentral's name for it is "Bacteroidetes bacterium SAM-I sequence". It matches the Rfam family "SAM riboswitch aptamer (S box leader)". From Rfam's summary of the family: The SAM riboswitch is found upstream of a number of genes which code for proteins involved in methionine or cysteine biosynthesis in Gram-positive bacteria. The record is from RNAcentral. Lineage: Bacteria; Pseudomonadati; Bacteroidota.
AGCUUAUCCAGAAAGGCUGAGGGACAGUGCCCGAUGAAGCCUUGGCAACCGUUCCGCUUUCAGCGGGAAAUGGUGCCAAUUCACUUCUCUGUUUAUUAAAAAUAUCAGAGAGAAGAUGAGCC